Prionailurus viverrinus (fishing cat) is the source of this 6226-nucleotide long non-coding RNA. RefSeq lists it as uncharacterized. The transcript is spliced from 3 exons. Lineage: Eukaryota; Metazoa; Chordata; Mammalia; Carnivora; Felidae. The record is from RefSeq and is a predicted model, not a curated record.
CGCCGCGAGGCGUCACCGCGAGCUGCGGCGGACCCGCCGGGCGGAGGGACGAGCCGGCCGCCGGCAGGGCGCCCUGGGGAGGGGUCGGGCGCGUGGGGGCGCGGAGGGGGCGUCCGGCGCCAGCCACCCGGCGGGCCUGGAGGAGGGGUGGACGGACGCAGUGCGAGCCUUGGCCCGCUUCUUCCAUUUUUCAGGGAACGCGGUGAGUGCGCCCUUCUCUGUGCGCGGUUCCGCCGGGGUGUCUGCGUGCAGCCCCGCAGCGCCCCCACCAGCGGGCCCCCUCCCUUCGAGCCCCCGCAGCCCCGGCCCUGAUCGGCGCCCCCGCGGCCCAUAAACGGAAGAGAGCAGGGACAGCCUUGGGGUCUGGCCUGUGGCCGGCAGAAGCCAGAAAUUCACUGAGCGCCCGUGUGCCCGCGGAGCCGCGCGCCCGCACCGGUGCCGGGCUCGGUCGGCGCUCGCGCGGACGUGGGGGGCAGGGGCGGGGGCCCGGCUGCCUUCAACGUCGCCUUGGGUUUUGUGAGAGGGUGCGUUUUCCCUUCCCGCGUGGAGGAGGCUGGCAGAGAUGUGAGCCCGGACUCCGCCGGGCUGGGGUCAGCGGGGCGUCGCCCCGGGUCCUGGUCCUCGCGGCACCUGCUGGCGGGAGCGGGAGCUCUGGCCGCGCUGGCGAGCGCGCCGCGGUGUCUGUUUGUGGCUGGACCCGCCUUUCCCUGUCGACUGACGAUGUCGAACAUUUUUUUUUCCCACGAGCUUCUUAACCACCCGUAUGGCUUCUCUGCUAAAAUGCGUAUGUUUUUAAAUGUAUUUUUCCCUAUUUUCUUUUUAUUGUGUUGUUUCCUUGUCAUUGAGCUUUGAGAGUCCUUUGUAUCAUCAUUGCCGCGACAUUAUCAAACAGGUGAUCUGCAAAGAUUUUUCUCCCCGUCUGUGGCUUGUCUUCUGUUUCCCUUGAGUGUCUUUCAAAGAGCGCAAGAUCCCAAAAAAAGGAAAUGAAGUAACAUAAAAGAGCGCAAGCUCCUGAGGUCGACGGAGUCCAAGUGACCCAUUUCUUCCUCCUGUGGUUUGUGCAUUUCACGUCUGUCACAUCUAAGAAAUCUUUGCCUAACUGAGCAGUGCAAACAUCUGGGUUUUCUUCUAGAGGUUUUGCAGCAGCUGUGUCUGCCGCUUGCCCCCCCCCCCCCCCGUAGCCGGGGUCCAGAACCACGUGACCCUCCUUCCUUCUGGCAGAUCCCUGGCCACCUUCAUCCCAUCACGUGGGCACCUCAUCCUCCCAGAGCCUCAGGAGAGGGGCAGCCUCAGGGCAGUGAGAUGUUGUGACAGAGAGCCCGCAGCCCUGUUACUUUAUUACGGCAUAUUGCUACAGCCAUUCAACUUUUAGUUACUGUUACUCUGUUUCAGCCACUGAUUUAGGAAUGAAACUUUAACAUAGGUCUGUGCAUGUAGGGUUCAGUACCAUCCGCGUCCACUGGGGGGUCUUGGGAUGUAUCCCCUGUGGAUGGGGGUGGGGGGAGUUACCGUAUUAGGUUUUACAUGUACCUCAGCGAUUGCAUUAGAGCUAACUUUUGUACGUGGUGGGGGAGGUAGAUCAAGGAGUAGUUUGGUUUUUGGUUCUGUGUUUUGUUGGCCUUUUUUGCACGUGGCUAUCUAGUUGUUCGAACACAUUUGUGGAAAAGAUGAACUCCCGUGUGGUUUUGCAGUGGAGUGCUCCCAGUGAGACACAGGCAGUGCACGGCUGUCCCCGGCACCCGGGAGGCUGGUGUUCCAGAAAACCGCAGCGAGCAGAUGGCCAGCGAUUUCUGCAGGCACCCAGUGUCCUCAACCAGGUUAUCCUUGGGUCCAGGGCCUGGACAGUCGCGCUGGGGGGUCCAGGUUGUUCGACCAGCAUCAGCUUUGCGUCCCAUGGGUCCCCUGGCCGGCCAGAGGGUGCCCUGGGAGGAAAGACAAAGCACCCUGCUCGGGAGGGUCAGGGUAGAAUACUGAAUAUCCGAAGAAGAUCUAUGCAGCCCCACCCCCACCCUUUCGUCCUGGUCAUUACCCGGGAGGGGAUCAAGCGGACGUGUGCCUGUCUGGGGGCAGCCCUGGUGCUCAGGCCGGAAGCGGGCACAGAGGUGGAGUCAGAAAUCCUCAUAAGCGAACCCUGGGGAAGGGUCAGCAACACCACGUGCUGGGGCGGCAGGACGCGUGGAGAGCCCGGCCACCUCAAGCCCCGGCCCGCCACGGGGCGUCCUUUGUGAUGAAAGAAACACCUUGCAGAUUGCAGGCGAAACCCACGGCCCCUCAGCUCCUUGGCUUGGAGAAGCAGCGCAGGGGUGAGGUCGGAGGCGAGAUGCAUAGCCUGAGGGAGGGUCCAAGUCUGAUGGAGUCAUUUGCCAGGAGCUAGGGUCGCCCACCCAGGCGGUGUCCGCCUACCCACCCCAUCGGUGAGCCAGCCCUGGGCAGGAGUCGGGUCUGGUGUGCGGUGACCAGGUCUGCGUCAGUGCGAAGUCCCGUGUGUUGCAUCCCAUCGGUGACACGGGGUGUCGCCGUGAUGGAUCCCCGUGGCAACGGCGGCCCGUGCCCGACUGGGAAGCGCCAGCUGCUUGGGCAGAUGAGUUUUGGUGGGUGGGGUGAGAGAGCAGGCGCCCGCCACGCGCGAGCACAAGAGGCCCCACAAGGUCAGCAGUUGUCAUUUAUUCCUGCAGUCCACAGCACCCAGAAGGGGCGUCAUUAAUCUGUAAUUUUGCAAAAGAGCAAAAAAACACCAGAACACCCUGCAAACCACAUUGGUUUCCUAGGGCAUAACUGCCUGCUGUAACAAAGUAUCACAGACGGGCCCGCUGAAGACAAAGGAAUCGAUCCGCCCACGGCUGUGGAGACCGGAAGUCUGAAACGGAGGCGAGGGAGGGGGCCAUCCCUGGGGAGGCUCUGGGGGAGGGUCCUUCCUGCUUCUCCCGCAUCCUUGGUGCUUCUUGGCCUGUGGCUGCAUCGCUGCCGUCUCUCCCCUGCAUUGUCACAUGGCGGCCGUCCCCCUGUGUGUCCCCUCUCUGUCUUUGCGUCUUCACACCUGGCCUUCAAAGACUCUAUUUCCAAAUAGGCCACAUUCUGAGGUUCCAAGUGGAUAUGAGUCUGGGGGGACACUAUCCAACUCACUACACAGACCGAGUAGUUACAUCGUCUACAUCACAGGCCCAAGAAUUCAUGAAGCAUAACAGGUUUCACCAAGGGACCCUGAAAUAAAAGUGGCUUAAUCAGGAGAAAAGUUUAUUUAUCUCUCACAUUGUGCUCAGAGGGUAAGCAUCCAAGGGCUGAGAACCCCUGUUGUCAGGAACUUAAACUCCUGCCUUCUGUGCUGCAGUCCUCAAGACAUGGUUUCUGUCUUGUGGUCAAAAAUGGCUGCCGCAGCUCCAGCCAUCACCUCCACACUCCAGCACGGAGGAAGAGCAAAGAAGUGAAAAGCACGCCUCUCCCUUUAAGGACCUGGAACUAAUCUAUCACUUAUGUUCAAGUGCCUGUAAACUUAGUCACAUGACCCUUUUUGCUGCAAAGAUGGCUGGGAAGUGUCGUCUUCCUCUGGAUAGUCACACGUCCGACUAAAAGUCCCGGAUGCUGCUACCCCGUAGUCUUGACCGACUAAAAGUCCCGGAUGCUGCUACCCCGUAGUCUUGAGCGCAAGUAUGUCACAGGGAAAAUGGCUCCCGGGAAGACUGCCCUUCCAGGGAUAACCCAUCCCACUGCCCUGGGACCCACUGACCUUUGGACUGAGGUCAGGGGCCACGUCGUCCCCUUCAGGUGGGUGUUCUGGGAGGGGGUGAGAAUGAGGAGCCCAGCACGUGGUGGGGACCCAGGCCAGGCCCGGGGAGGGUGAUGUCUGGGACCUCCAGGAUGAGGGACGGGGGCGGCCGGGCAGGAGUGCGGUUCCAGCAGAGGAACAGAGUAUGCAGAGGCCCAGAGGCCACGGACAGGUAUGAAACCGCAGCACCACAGCAGGUGUGAGGUUGGAGGUCUCAGCUGGCACGGGGUCCUGAGGGCCCUUGACGAGGGCUCUGGAUGUGGAACUUCAGCCCGGAGGGCCCAGGAUCACCGUGGACGGGGUGCAGACCACCGGCCGGGCAGCGGCUGGGAGCAGGGCCCGUCCAGGUGAUCCGGGGCGAUCUCCCCUCCAGAUCCUCAAGCGCCUCUGCCAAGAUCACAAAGGCCACACUCGGGUUCCAGGCGGACAUAACUGCCGCGUGGGGGCACCGCUCAACCCGCUACAACCACAGAAGCAAAUCGCAAAGCGCUCCGUGUACAAUGCUACCGUGUUUGUGACGAACAGACGGGCGUGCCUCCGUGUGCGUGGGCGGCGAGCCCGUGGUGUGCGUGCGGCCGCACGGGCAUAACGUGAAGGGGGCGCGAGGGAGGUAGGGAGUCCCGGCCCCUGGCUCGGGUGACUCUCUCCCAGCCCAGGGCGCAGCCAGAAGCCCAGGGCGGCGGCCUGGGUCCAGCUCUGUCCCGCAGGGGCACCGGCCUCCCGGCCUGACUCUGGCAGAGAGGGCCACCGGGAGCCCGCAGAGAACCACGUGGGCGCGACAGACCGACCCCGAAUCAGCGUGGCUGGCUGUCCCCACGGUGAUGAUUUUGGGGGUGCCACAGGGGGAUACUUUGGCAAACUUCCCUGGGAUUUUCUGGGACUUUUUUCAGGGGCGCGUGUGCAUGUGUGUGUGUAAACCUCCCGUGCGUAGCUAGCUCACCUUCGGCCGACUGUACCUGUGACCGCUUUUCAUAAAAGGGGGGACGCCUUACUGUGGCCCGAGUCCCGCCCCCAGCUCCACAGCCUGAGCUCUAACCCCCCAGGUGAUGCUGCUGGGAGGGGACUGGGGGUGAUGGGGUUAGUGCCCCCGGUUCUCCCCCCCGCCCCCCCGUCCCCCCCCCGUCCCCCCCCCCGUGUCCCCCCCAUCCCCCUCCCGUGUCCCCCCCCGUCCCCCCCCCCCCCGUGUCUCCCCCCCCCCCCCCCGUCUCCCCACCUCUCCCCACAGGUGCGCGCAUCCAGAGAAGGCGGCCGUCUGCAAGCCCGGGGAGUUCUCACCAGGAGCCAACCCUGACCUCCAGCGUCCUGGCUCCGGAACCCGGAGAAGCGAGCGCCUGUCGUGUCAGCCGCGAGUGCUGUUUGCACGCGCGCGUGUGGAUGGGAGUGCGGUUCAGCCCCCACCGCUGUUGUGUGCACCUGCAUGUCCCCCCCCCUCCCCCGCACUGCUCCCUGACCUGCUUCUCUCAGUAGAACCGGAGUCCUCAGUCCCAUUCUCGGGGACCCGCAGUUGGCAGUGAAGUCCGAAAUGCUGUGUGUUCGUUCUGAUGCUACAUCACAGACAUGGUCUAACCGUCGUGGUAAAGACAGGCUUCCCUUGGGCCCCAGAAAGACUGGUUUUCCCCAGCGCCUUGGACUUCCCGAGGGGCACCUCCGCGGCCCCUGUGUUCUGGGGCAGACCUCCUCCGGGACCCUGGGGCACGUGCUUCUCCGUUAGAACGGACCAAGCUCGGGUCUGAGAGCCCAGGGCCCCCGCGCCAUUUCCAGGGUGACGCAAUGUUCUGUUGCCUGAAGGGACCCUGAUUUAUGUAACCCGUUGCCUCCCGGUGGGUGUUUAGGGUUGUCUGACCUUUGUCCUUCCUGCGUCAAGGCUGGGUGGGUGGACUUCUGGCUGAAUCUGUGCCCCAUUCCUUAAUGAUUAACUUUCGGCCGGGUACCUGCAGGUCAAAGGCUUUAGCUGUUUUCCAUGAUAAAUGCUCGGCAGGGCCCCGCCUGGCCACCGCCAUGGGCCCCGAACUAUGAAAACUCCGAGGGUGCCAUCCUGGUGGGGGGGGGGGGGGUUAGCCCGCUGCUUCUCCUUCCGGGUGGCACGGUCCUCUGGGGCCAAGGACUGACCUUAUUCUGUGAGCCGCCCCUCGGCCCACCAUUCCUGCAGUCCCAGAAGGCACCUGCUCCUGCCUGCCUCGCACUUUGUGAACGCUGUCGCCUGCCAGGACUCCCAUGCAGCACCCCCCUCCCCGCCCAGGCAACCCCCUUUGGGUGGGUCCCACUGCACAGAGGCCCCCCUCCCUGUCUGACAGGUCACCGGGCCCCCUGAAUGCUGGGACUCCCCGUCAGACCCUGACCCCCACACCCGAUCCAUGUCGGGCUCUCCCCUGGACCCCCCACUCCCUGCACCCAGGGCCAAGUCUGCCUCUGCCUGGGACCUGGUGACCUCUGCAUCCCUGGAGAAGCUCCUACAAGACCAGC